Molecule: ribosomal RNA, 253 nt
Filed under: uncultured bacterium
Lineage: Bacteria
Description: partial 16S ribosomal RNA
Rfam family: Bacterial small subunit ribosomal RNA
Source: RNAcentral
UACGGAGGGUGCAAGCGUUAUCCGGAUUCACUGGGUUUAAAGGGUGCGUAGGUGGGCAGGUAAGUCAGUGGUGAAAUCUCCGGGCUUAACCCGGAAACUGCCAUUGAUACUAUCUGUCUUGAAUACCGUGGAGGUGAGCGGAAUAUGUCAUGUAGCGGUGAAAUGCUUAGAUAUGACAUAGAACACCAAUGGCGAAAGCGGCUUCCUGGUCCAGCACCGACGUUCAGGCACGAAAGCGUGGGGAGCAAACAGG